GAAAGUGAAGGCAAUCUGGCUGCAUCUGUCACUCCACUGAUCGCCAGGGUUGACUGGGCUGAUCUGGCUGGAGAGCUGGGUGUCCCCUUCAUUCCUCACUGCUCCACGUGCAUCUCCUAAAGCUGCACACCCUGUCCAAGGGGACCGCCAUACCCAGCCGAAGAGGCCCAGUCUUCAGUCAAGUGUACAUGAGUAGUUGUGCUCCCUGCUAAAACCUUCAAACAAGCUCUCAGGAUGGUGGAGGAAGACACAACAGGCCAUUCAAUAAAACUCAUUGAAUAAUUAGGCAAAAAUAAAUCAGACUCUAAUCAUU
RNAcentral lists this small nuclear RNA (313 nucleotides) under Cebus imitator (Panamanian white-faced capuchin). RNAcentral describes it as "7SK RNA (ENSCCAG00000009796.1)". It matches the Rfam family "7SK RNA". Rfam says of the family: 7SK was discovered as an abundant small nuclear RNA in the mid-70s but a possible function has only recently been suggested. Two independent studies have found that 7SK RNA binds the CDK9/cyclin T complex (known as elongation factor P-TEFb). The record is from Rfam by way of RNAcentral. Lineage: Eukaryota; Metazoa; Chordata; Mammalia; Primates; Cebidae.